RNAcentral lists this transfer RNA (66 nucleotides) under Trogoderma variabile. RNAcentral's name for it is "tRNA-Asn". Lineage: Eukaryota; Metazoa; Arthropoda; Insecta; Coleoptera; Dermestidae. The record is from RNAcentral.
UUAAUUGAAACCAAAAUAGAGGUAUAUCACUGUUAAUGAUAACAUUAAGAAUAAUCUUCAAUUAAA